Molecule: long non-coding RNA, 1062 nt
Filed under: Nicotiana benthamiana
Lineage: Eukaryota; Viridiplantae; Streptophyta; Magnoliopsida; Solanales; Solanaceae
Description: long non-coding RNA (NBEN_LNC037153)
Source: RNAcentral
GGGGGGGUAAGUGUUGUUUUGUCAAGCAUAGAGGUUUAGGUUUAGGCUUGCUGUUUGGGUUGUUUCGACCCAUAGGCUCAUUUUCUCUGGAGGUAAUUAUCAACUUGGUAAAGGGUAUUUAGAGAAUUUAUUUGAGAGAUUCUUUUAAGACUGAAUGGAGAAAGUUCCAGGAAAGAGGGGCUUAGGUUAGUUCAGUAAUUGGUUUUAAAAUUUGAGGUGUUAACUUGAAAGAAUAAAUAUGGGAAGGGGUAAUUUGGAGAACUUGAAAGCAUUUCUGCUACCCUAAAAGGUUUUCUAUAAAAGGCUAUUUUCCUUCUUUGUCAAGGAAAACUUUAGAGAUUACAAGAUUGAAAAAACUUAUAAAACGGUCGAGCCUUCUUUUAGACUCUGAAUACUGAAAACUGUUUGAAAUUUAUUUGGUUUUGUUCUUUGAGUUCCCUGAUAGUCAGAAUUUUUAAAAAUCUUCAAAGAGCUGAGCUCAUCUGGGUUUAUUUUGGUUUGAAAGAAGCUGAUUUUGCUGAGUUGUUGAGCUGAUUCUACUACUGUUGCUAAUUCUUCAUUCGCCAAAAAGAUAUUAUCAAGGUUUUCAUUGAUUUAGUAAAGGCAAGAAGAGGCAAGAGGCAAGGAUGAUAUCGACAUCGAGUUCUACCUUUCUUCCUUUUGUAUUUAUCAUUCAUGAUGAAUUUUGUUAUUGUUAGUAUGAAUACGAUUAUGGGUAGCUAAUUAUUUAGUCUAAGGUUUUGAUGGAAUCUUUUGAAGGAUGAACUUCUUGAUGUGUUAAUAUAGUUUGCCCAGUUUAAUCUCUAUUUGUUUAACUACAAUCUCGUUGUGGUUAAUUGAUAAGAUCCUCAAUUAGCUGUGCAUAUUUAGUAUGUAUUACUCAGGAGAGAGUGCAUAUUUAAGUAAUUGUUGAACAAAACUACACCCAAAGUAUAGGAGGAAUAAAUAACCGAGGGUUUAAAUGUGGGAUUAGGGAUAAUGAAACCUUGGGUGCGAUCUAAAGUGAGUUGUAAUAAAAUCCAGCUAGCGUAAAUCGGGAGAGUGCAUCUAGUAAGUUGUGCC